GUCGAGCGCCCUGCUUGCAGGGAGCGGCAGACGGAGUAACGCGUGGGAACGUACCUUUCGGUUUGGAAUAGCCCCGGGAAACUGGGUGUAAUACCAAAUAAGCCCUUAGGGGGAAAGAUUUAUCGCCGAUAGAUCGGCCCGCGUUAGAUUAGCUAGUUGGUGAGGUAAAAGCUCACCAAGGCGACGAUCUAUAGCUGGUCUGAGAGGAUGAUCAGCCACACUGGGACUGAGACACGGCCCAGACUCCUACGGGAGGCAGCAGUGAGGAAUCUUGGACAAUGGGCGAAAGCCUGAUCCAGCCAUGCCGCGUGAAUGAUGAAGGCCUUAGGGUUGUAAAAUUCUUUCAGCAGGGAAGAUAAUGACGGUACCUGCAAAAGAAGCCCCGGCUAACUCCGUGCCAGCAGCCGCGGUAAUACGGAGGGGGCUAGCGUUGUUCGGAAUUACUGGGCGUAAAGCGCUCGUAGGCGGACUGAUAAGUCAGAGGUGAAAGCCCAGGGCUCAACCUUGGAACUGCCUUUGAAACUGUCAGUCUAGAGUUCGGGAGAGGUGAGCGGAAUUCCGAGUGUAGAGGUGAAAUUCGUAGAUAUUCGGAGGAACACCAGAGGCGAAGGCGGCUCACUGGACCGAUACUGAC
Molecule: ribosomal RNA, 634 nt
Filed under: uncultured bacterium
Lineage: Bacteria
Description: bacterial SSU rRNA
Rfam family: Bacterial small subunit ribosomal RNA
Source: RNAcentral